CCCGGACGGGAUCACUUCUCGAGUGCCUAUCGCGGGUGACGUUGAGCCUUACGGCCUUCGUUGCUUGUGUUGUUGGUGCUUUUUGGGUGUACUUUUCCGUAUGGUAGGUCAGCAUCGAUUUCGAACGUCAUAAAAUGAUCGGGGGAAUGUAGCUUCGGUCUCGUAUCGGAGUGUUAUAGACCUUGGUAGAUGUGACGAUUGGGAUCGAGGAUUGCAACGAAUACCCUUUUGGGCUAUCCGUCUGGCCUCUGAAAGUCGCUCGGGUGUCGAAAGCGUGCUUACGGCUAUCCGAGUUGGCGGUCAACAGGUUAGAACGUGAUUACAUUCGUUAAGGAUGUUGACGUAA
RNAcentral lists this ribosomal RNA (346 nucleotides) under uncultured Glomeromycotina. Its description in RNAcentral is "LSU rRNA". Lineage: Eukaryota; Fungi; Glomeromycota. The record is from RNAcentral.